This 454-nucleotide ribosomal RNA is filed under the name uncultured Porphyromonadaceae bacterium. RNAcentral's name for it is "partial 16S ribosomal RNA". It matches the Rfam family "Bacterial small subunit ribosomal RNA", at positions 341 to 792 of the family's 1533-position model. The record is from RNAcentral. Lineage: Bacteria; Pseudomonadati; Bacteroidota; Bacteroidia; Bacteroidales; Porphyromonadaceae.
ACGGGAGGCAGCAGUGAGGAAUAUUGGUCAAUGGUCGGAAGACUGAACCAGCCAAGUCGCGUGCAGGAAGACGGUCCUAUGGAUUGUAAACUGCUUUUGUACGGGAAUAAAAUGCAGGACGUGUCCUGUUUGGAAUGUACCGUAAGAAUAAGGGUCGGCUAACUCCGUGCCAGCAGCCGCGGUAAUACGGAGGACCCGAGCGUUAUCCGGAUUUAUUGGGUUUAAAGGGUGCGCAGGCGGAGGAUUAAGUCAGCGGUGAAAUUUUCAUGCUCAACAUGAAAACUGCCAUUGAUACUGGUCCCCUUGAGAGAUGUCGAGGAUGGCGGAAUGUGAUGUGUAGCGGUGAAAUGCUUAGAUAUGUCACAGAACACCGAUCGCGAAGGCGGCUGUCCAGAGAUCAUCUGACGCUCAGGCACGAAAGCAUGGGUAUCAAACAGGAUUAGAUACCCUGGUA